UAAAUUGGGGACAAAUUAAAUGAUGGCCCUGCCUCCUCCCUCAUCAAGGCUUAGCCAGGUGUGAGGCCAUACUGCCCUCUGAUCCUCGGCUCACCUUUUAGGCCAGUAGUAGGCAGCUGGUUCCUUCCUCUAAGGAACUCUGCUAAGAAGAAAGUUUACCUCUGCCAUGGCUCUUUGUCCUGGCAUGGAAACCUUGUCCUUGUCACUCCAUUCUAAAUGUGAGAGAAGAAAGAUUGCCUUCUAAAAGGAAUACCUGGGCUGUUUGAAAUUUGUUCUUUAGCCUCUCUAGGAUAGGUCCAGAUUUGUUUUGGGAUUAUGAACAUAGAUGUAGCCAGUAACUCCCCAACUCUUAAGACAGUUUCAUGUUCUGAGCCCUUUAAGAAUCGUCUAGGAAGUCUGAGAGCUGUUUACUAGCUCCUGAGCGGAGCCUCUCACCUCCAAUGUAUAAACAUCUACAGUAUGUAUUCUACAAACUGAGGUCCUGCACAGCACAGCAGUAUGAAAUGAUGUUGUGAUCUAUGUAUACAGAUUAAAACAAUUAACUCAAACUAAUUGGCAUACCCAUCACCUCAUUUUGUGUGUGGUGAUCUCAGCAAUUUUGAAAUAUACAAGGCACUAUUUAGAUUUUGUUUUCCUUUUUUUGGUACUGGGGCCCUAAUCUCAUACAUGCUAGGUGAGCACUACCACUGAACUACCUCCCAGUUCCUAGUAUACUAUUACUAGCUAAAGGACAAAUAUUCUUUAAGCCUGAUGAACUUUGCUACACUCACUCAGUUUAUUAACAAAUUAUAUUAGCAGCCAGGCAAAGUGGCACACUCCUAUUGUAUCAGCAACUCAGGAGGCCAAAGCAGGAAGAUCAUAAGUUAAAAGCUAGUCUCAGCAACUUAGUGAGGCCCUUAGCAAAUUAGUG
RNAcentral lists this long non-coding RNA (910 nucleotides) under Marmota monax (woodchuck). The record is from RNAcentral. Lineage: Eukaryota; Metazoa; Chordata; Mammalia; Rodentia; Sciuridae.